Molecule: long non-coding RNA, 458 nt
Filed under: Brassica napus (rape)
Lineage: Eukaryota; Viridiplantae; Streptophyta; Magnoliopsida; Brassicales; Brassicaceae
Description: long non-coding RNA (BNAP_LNC022739)
Source: RNAcentral
GGCCUCGAAACUCUCUCCGAAAAUCCAGCGGACCCUCGCGACGUUUCAACUUCUCGGUGCAUUUAAAAGAGAAAAAAGGGGGGGGAAUUCGAGGUUUCGUCAUUAAGCCCGAACGGGCCUAAAUGGGCCUCGAAACUCUCCCAGAUAUCCAGCGGACCCUCGCGACGGUUCGGCUUCUCGUCUAAAUCGGACGUCGGUCAUCUUAAAAUCAGAAUAAACCAAUGGUUAAUCUAGAUAUGUCAAUCGGGAUCUGAUUAUCCGCGACUAAUCGGCCUCAAGCAGAAAUAUUCCAGAACCCUCCAUGCGACACAACGAUCAAAAGGAGCGAUAAAGCCUCUACUGCUCGCUUCCGAGAGAACGACACCAUGCGACUCAUCGACCAACCGCUCCAACUUUUCGACAGGCCUUCUAUUCCCUCAAACCUUCAAACCUUCAAACCUUAGAAUCCACACGAGCCA